This is a long non-coding RNA of Leptidea sinapis, 556 nucleotides long. RefSeq lists it as uncharacterized. Lineage: Eukaryota; Metazoa; Arthropoda; Insecta; Lepidoptera; Pieridae. The record is from RefSeq and is a predicted model, not a curated record. The transcript is spliced from 2 exons.
GGGACGCUCUGCAUAGCAAAAUGUUCAAAUACCACGUUGAAUAUUAUUCUAAGGAGGAUAUUCCAACUUAUACGCAGCUGGUGAAGAUUAUGGAGUCCGAUGCUCAACCCAGACUAAGUAGACGGGUAACAUCGGGAAUUUGCGACGCAAUCAUAAACAAGGCAAUCUUUCACAUCUACAAUUUGAAUUCUAAGCGAGAAGUGUCCAUUUUUGAAGCUGAGUAAAUGUUCAUUUUGAAAUGUCUGCGAUGUCAAGGGUUUUUAGUUGAGGAUUUUAUUGAUUUAUAAGCCUUAUUACAGUUCAACAAUUUACAGUGUUAAUAUAAGCAUAUAUUAUGGUCCAUCUAUAAUUUUGCCUUCAACAUAUUAUUGUAAAAAAGGCAUUUAUUUUCUCAAAAUUGAUUCCUUCAGAAUUCACUUUGAUGUCAGUUCAAACACUAUCACAGCUUCGGAAACAAAUGGCGCUCUGAGAGAGAAGAAACGGCGCAGGAAAUAUUUCCCAGCAUUCCUUUUUGCGCUCUUUUUAAUAAAAUAAAAUAUACAAUAUUGUACUGUCA